This 468-nucleotide ribosomal RNA is filed under the name uncultured bacterium. RNAcentral describes it as "partial 16S ribosomal RNA". It matches the Rfam family "Bacterial small subunit ribosomal RNA", at positions 28 to 507 of the family's 1533-position model. The record is from RNAcentral.
GACGAGCGCUGGCGGCGUGCUUAACACAUGCAAGUCGAACGGAAAGGCCCCGCUUUUGUGGGGUGCUCGAGUGGCGAACGGGUGAGUAACACGUGAGUAACCUGCCCUUGACUUUGGGAUAACUUCAGGAAACUGGGGCUAAUACCGGAUAGGAGCUCCUGCUGCAUGGUGGGGGUUGGAAAGUUUCGGCGGUUGGGGAUGGACUCGCGGCUUAUCAGCUUGUUGGUGGGGUAGUGGCUUACCAAGGCUUUGACGGGUAGCCGGCCUGAGAGGGUGACCGGCCACAUUGGGACUGAGAUACGGCCCAGACUCCUACGGGAGGCAGCAGUGGGGAAUAUUGCACAAUGGGCGGAAGCCUGAUGCAGCAACGCCGCGUGCGGGAUGACGGCCUUCGGGUUGUAAACCGCUUUCGCCUGUGACGAAGCGUGAGUGACGGUAAUGGGUAAAGAAGCACCGGCUAACUACGUG